RNAcentral lists this ribosomal RNA (236 nucleotides) under uncultured bacterium. RNAcentral's name for it is "partial 16S ribosomal RNA". It matches the Rfam family "Bacterial small subunit ribosomal RNA", at positions 335 to 588 of the family's 1533-position model. The record is from RNAcentral.
GGCCCUACGGGGGGCAGCAGUGGGGAAUAUUGCACAAUGGGGGAAACCCUGAUGCAGCGACGCCGCGUGAGCGAAGAAGUAUUUCGGUAUGUAAAGCUCUAUCAGCAGGGAAGAAAAUGACGGUACCUGACUAAGAAGCCCCGGCUAAAUACGUGCCAGCAGCCGCGGUAAUACGUAGGGGGCAAGCGUUAUCCGGAUUCAUUGGGCGUAAAGCGCGCGCAGGCGGGCCGCUAAGC